GAGUUUUAGUCCAGCGGCACCAUUCCGUACAAGAGCAGUUAUAUUUUAGGAAACUGGGACAAGAGGUCAAGGCUGGGAGUGCUUCGGGACUGGCUGGAUCAUGGUUUUUGGAGACAGGCCUGGAAAUGGAGUGUGGCACUAGAAGAGAAGAACUUCGUUUCCAGGUCAGCAUCACAAGACGCAUGAAAGAGGACUCAUCGCCAGGGCAUGGAGCUGGUGUUUUGAUCAAAAUGGAAUUUGCUCUCAAAUAGACAUGUAUUCACUAAUCUCCUUUCUUUUAAAUAAGUAAAUAAAACAAACACAAAAUCUCUUCCAGCUCAGCUGACUAAGUCCUAGUGGGGAUGACAGCAACAUUCACUUGCAAGAUCCCACAGAGCUAGUGUCCAAAAUGAAAAUAAAUGUGACUUUUCAUAUCAAGGCAGAGUGUUGCUUUGUUUGCAAUUCAGUUAAAGAACAGGCAUUACAAUGCUAUUGUGCUACGAGAUGCACAUCUUUGGGGCUCUAACACGGCGAAAUCUGUGCUUGACAGAUGGGCACCAGUAUCUUAAGAGAGCCAGAAGGGCACAGUUCUUGGUUUCCAAGGAGCUAGGUUUGGGUGAGGUGGAAGUGGGGGAGCAAAGAAAA
This 624-nucleotide long non-coding RNA is filed under the name Homo sapiens (human). RNAcentral describes it as "HSALNT0132645". Lineage: Eukaryota; Metazoa; Chordata; Mammalia; Primates; Hominidae. The record is from RNAcentral.